Long non-coding RNA from Neofelis nebulosa (Clouded leopard), 585 nucleotides. RefSeq lists it as uncharacterized. Lineage: Eukaryota; Metazoa; Chordata; Mammalia; Carnivora; Felidae. The record is from RefSeq and is a predicted model, not a curated record. The transcript has 3 exons.
GCUGGUAUGUUUUCUUCCUUGUCUUGUCGGUUCGCUGUUUUUGUCUCUGCCAUGAGCUGGUAAGCUCUAUGAGAGCGGGGACCUCAUUCUAAUGAUACUAUGUACUCUUGUGUCUAAAGCAGGGCUUGGCACACAGAAGACUACGCAGUAAAGGGCUUUUCAGUGGAUGAGAAAGUUGAAUGAGUCUCUGCUCCCUGCAACCCGAAAUGUCUUGGCUCAGACAGUAACUCCUGCUGGCGCUCCCACAAUGCCCGCGCCACCCCCAGGAUUGCCAGCCGCACACCGUGUUGUCAUGAUCCCGUCCCUGUCUGCCACCCCUCCAGGACCCUGUGUUCUUUGAAGAGAAGUCCAUGGGCUUAUUCAUCUCUUGUGUUCCCAGAGCCCAGCACGAGCCCUCGUUCCCAGCGGGCGCUCAGAUCAGAGGGCUCUCCUUCCACUGUUCUGUCACCAGACUCAUCAUUGCGGACACUUCCUGCGGCGGAGAUGCUGUUUCCCACCAAACCCUGUCCUCCUCUGGCCUGUCCAGCCAGAGUCCACGCUUCCCAGGCCUCCCGGCGGCCAGCGCCCAGGCACGCGCAGGCAGGC